Molecule: non-coding RNA, 189 nt
Filed under: Paracoccus alcaliphilus
Lineage: Bacteria; Pseudomonadati; Pseudomonadota; Alphaproteobacteria; Rhodobacterales; Paracoccaceae
Source: RNAcentral
GCUUCGGUUCCGGUUUGCGCCGGAUGAAAAGGGAACGCUGGUGCGUGCCCUUCGCCAUCUGGCGAAAGGUGCAAAUCCGCGGCUGCCCCCGCAACUGUAAGCGGUGAGCGAUGGCCCUCCAUGCCACUGGACGCAGUCCGGGAAGGCGGCCAAAGCGAUGAUCCGCAAGCCAGGAGACCUGCCGGUGCG